CUUUUCUCUCUCUUCAAAUAUAUAUAUCAGCCACUCUCGCUCCCUUCUCUCACCAACACCAAUCUUUGUUAGAACCUUAAAACUCUCGCAUAUGCUGUCUCGUGAAUCUCACAGUCAUGGGAAAAAACCUCGCCGCCGAGAAAUGAAUUUCCCAAAUUCGAAACCAUAAUGGAUCUGGAGAAAGCAGGUACGAUGUGUUUCAUCUCAAGCAGAUAUGUCGAUCCUUGUUAGAUGUUCGUCCUUAAAAGGAUACUCAAAAAGGCUUGCUGAGGUUUUCUCAAAGGAUGUCAUAUCUUUCUUGGCUAGCUGUCAAAACUUGGUUCCACGACCGUGGGUCAUUGAUGACUUGGACAACUUCCAAGCCAAAUGGAUCAAGAAGCCUUGGAAGAAGGCAGUGAUUUUUGUUGAUAAUUCUGGUGCCGACAUAAUUUUGGGUAUUUUGUCGUUUGCAAGAGAGUUGCUCCUUCGUGGAACUCAGGUAUGUACUUUUGACAAUGACCGAGUCUUUCUCUUUUUAUUUCACCUUGAAGGUGCUUCUAGCUGCUAACGAGCUGCCAGCGAGCUGCCAGCUAUCAACGAUGUAACAUAUACAAAGCUUACUGAUAUCGUGUCUCAGGGUUGUGGAAUCGAGACAAACCUUUAUGCUCAGUUUCAAGUGUGAUUCUCUCAAUAUUGGAAUGGAUAUGAAGUCUAUGUUGAUCAUGUUGCCACGUAUUUGGUAAGUGGAGGGGAGGGUUGCUGGUGUUGAUUUGGGAUCUAGAAAGUUUCAAUUAGAUUUUGAUGAGGAGGCUGAUAUUAUUGAAGUUUUGAAGAUAGAACCAUUAUAUUUCGACUCUUGGAUGGUUUCUUUGGUUCGGUGGACACCAGUGGUAGAUUCAGCUUAUUCGUUGUCUCUUGAGUUUUGGAUCUGUGUUACUGAUGUUCCUAUUCAGUUCUGGGCAGAUCCUACUUUUAGAGAUAUUGGAUCUGAUUUCGGUACCGUCUAAGAUGUGGAUAUAGAUAGAGGGUGUGUGCAGGUCACUAUUGAUGGUCUAAAGCCUCUAUGUUUUGAAACAAAUU
Molecule: non-coding RNA, 1059 nt
Organism: Camelina sativa (false flax)
Lineage: Eukaryota; Viridiplantae; Streptophyta; Magnoliopsida; Brassicales; Brassicaceae
Source: RefSeq, a predicted model, not a curated record